UGUGUCGCACACACACACACACACACACACAUACACGUCCUACACACGACACGACACGACACAACACGAC
RNAcentral lists this small nuclear RNA (70 nucleotides) under Goniomonas pacifica. Its description in RNAcentral is "partial Dictyostelium signal recognition particle". Lineage: Eukaryota; Cryptophyceae; Goniomonadida; Goniomonadaceae. The record is from RNAcentral.